UCUUGCCGGCACCACGGGCAGCAACGACUCCGUCCCGGCCAGUAGCCCCCUCGACUCCUCCCUCCUGUUGCUGUCGCCGGUACAUGCAGUGGUGGGAUCCGUUCUCUCCGCCUCAUGGGGGGCGCCAUGGAUCUCGCAGCUGAAGACGCUCGGCGCGGUAGGGUUUGGGGCCAGCGGCGUGGGUGGAUCUGCGGCGGUGGCGGCAGCCGAUGCGGGGGGUCGACGAUCGCGUCGCGCCAGAUCUGCCUGCUCCGGUGUUGUCGGUGGUAGUGGAGGCUUCGUCGUGUGCCCAUUCUAGCCACAUCUGGCCGUGUGGACUCAUCUGCGGUGGCUUUGGCGAGCGGUGUGCGGCCGCCGGGAUGGAGGACGGCGGUGCGGCAGCGUUCGCGUUUGGUGGUUGUUUCAGGGCGGCCAUUACAUCAGGGGAAGUGGUGAGGGCUUCGGUGGUCGCCAGAGAGGAUGCGCUGACUUCAGGUUGGCCUGCCCUCGAUCUGUCCGUGUUCUGCCGCCGCAACUCCCGCGUCAUGGGUGUGCUGAGCCUGCAUCUUGCUCCGUCCUAGCGGCUGGGCGUCCUGGUCAGCCUUCCAUUUUCGCCUCCCUCUUUGUGGGUUGCAUAGGGCGAUUGGCGUGAUGUGCAGCCGUUCUAUUUAGGGAUUCGGUGUGUAUGAUGACAUUUUCUUGCUGUUCUCUAAGAUGAUUUAUAGUCCUUUACCCAUUGAUUUUCUGCUAGGUGGUCAUUCCCUUUUUCCAGCCAGUCACUGAUGCCAUCGGGUUGGGCAUUGCGUUUGUUCGUUUGAUCACACACUACCAGUCCCUGCCAUAGGAAGGCAGCAGCCACUGUGUGUCGUCCAGGAUGGAGAGGAUGACGGUGUCAGCAUGGAUGAAGAGGGUGAAGUAGCUGGUCAGGUUAAAGGGCACCGUCACUAACUAGUCCGCCAGCACGGACAGCAGGCCUUUGCCCUCGCCCACACAAAUGUUGUGUGCUCCUGGCAGUUGGGCGCCAUGUACAUGCUCCGACAGGAUGUGGCUGCACAUGGUCACUGUCGUCACAAGUAGGAAGCUAUCGCUGAAUCACGUUUUUAUUGGAAGGCAUAGGAAGCUUUCUACCAUUGGAAGAACAUAGUUGUUUUGCUCGUGUAUGUCGCAAAAAUAAACCUUCUAAUUUGUGUUUGAUCCUUUACGAAGGACACAAAUUUUCUCUAUGACUAACCUUUUGUUUCAUUUUUCUUUCAGCAGUACAUGAUUGAUCAUCUGCAGUAAGUAUCAUUCACUGGGUGUUUGUGUUGGAAAUUUAGGUGCUAGAUAAUGGCAGAAAUGACACACAUGAGCUUGUGGAGUGCAUGGGCCCAACCACUGAUAUUGGUUUAAAAUUAUUUAUGCUCAAGGACCAACUUGCUCAGCCAAUUGAACACAUGCAUAUACAGCGUCGGUGCAGCAGCAGCCUUGUGAUGCAGUUACAAUGGGCAAUAUGAGUUAAACUACUUGAGCUUCAUUACACACCUCGGUGCAAUAGGGAUUUAGAUUUCCUUUUUGAGUUAAUUGUGCUUAGAAUCAGUACUUAGUCACAUUAUCACCAUUUGUGCAGAAUAUGUCUUAAAGAAGAUGUUGCAGUUUUCAGAUUACUACACAAGAGAGAGGAUCAGGCAUAUUCAAUGGUUUCCAAAAUUGCAGCAGAUUAUAUGUGAGGGAUCUGUGUCAAUGAAAGAACAGGAGCUUAACUGGCCCAUGAACCAAAUGAAUGUGCAUUGAGCACAAGUCAGAACUAAUGGUCUGACAAACGGCGCAGCAAAGCACGCGUACAACUAUUGGAGACAUGUGUGCUCCUCCUACUAGAUUGAUACCUUCAUUCUCAGCUGAGGGAAAUACUUAUCUCUACUUUGUUGCAUCAUCCUUUCCUCUUCAAGAAAAAAACCAACGCAAGCUCAAGAAGUAGCAAGAAAAAUUUGUGGCGCCAUUACCGGGGAGGAUCUACAUCAAGCUUAUCAAUAAGACCUUUGGGAUUGUCGGGGAAAUAUACAGGGGCAUGCAUUUUCCCCUCGUGCAUGGACAAGCACCAGCUCAAGUCAAAGAGUGAAGAACCAAGAGACUUGAAGAACCAACAUGCAUCUCAGAGAGACCAAGAUCAAGCCAGAAGAAUGAGAUAUCUACAAGAGAAGGGCCUCCCUUGUCGGGCAGGCGAGCCCGACAAGGGGCGAGGCCACCACCAGAAGCAAGCAACCAAGACUCCCCGGCAAAGCCUGCCGGGGUUCAUGGGGUGCUAAACCACCCCGCCAACCACUCUAGCAUGACUCACGUCGUCAAUCAGUGUGGUGUCAAGCCACAAGGUGAUUAAGUGGCAGCCAUUUGCCACAUGGAGGUCAUUUCCUACAGAAGAAACCCGCAGAUGACACCCGUCCUGCGACGUGUCAAGAGAACAGGCACGGAGUUGGCGAGAUAGCCCGGCCAGCCUUGCCGGGCAACCAGUGAUGUGACACUAAGCAGUUUAUUUAGUGCACCCUAUCAGCUCGAAAAGUUAGGUAUGAUAGCACUAUUCGCUAUCAUAUCAGUGGAUAAUGACCACUUUUCCACUAUGGUGACCCCUUAAUUUAUAAAAGGAGGCCCAUGGCACCCGUAGAAAGGGUUGGGAAGUUGAUGAACCCAAGCCAUCAUACGCGCGUAGCCGCUACAGCCCCGAGGCAAACCCUGUCAGGCAAGUGUACUACUCAC
Molecule: long non-coding RNA, 2706 nt
Organism: Triticum dicoccoides
Lineage: Eukaryota; Viridiplantae; Streptophyta; Magnoliopsida; Poales; Poaceae
Exons: 6
Source: RefSeq, a predicted model, not a curated record